UUCGGAUCGCCGCGCGGGAGGAGAAGGAGGCUGCUCUUUAGAUAGAGAGGAACUAUGAGUUUAAAAGCUAUAUUAGUAUUGCUACAGUACAAAAUGAUCUCUGAUUAUGGAAACAUCUGCAUACCUAGAAGAGGAUUUGAUGGAUAAGAACGACUGACCCUGAACCUGACAAAAGAUGUAUAAGGAUAAAGGUUGGCAGCUGGAAUCCAGGAAGCAACUGGGUGAUACAGUUCAAGGCUUCCAAUUUUGAUUAGAGACUACAGCAAUGACAUGAGGGAGUCCUGAGGCUGAAAUCUGAGUCACUUUCACGAUGCUUAUGGGCAAAGGAAAGUAAUGAUAAGAAGCCAAAUGGGAGCAUGAUCUGAAGUUACCCUGAGGAAGUCACAUCUUGAGUGUUCCAAACAGCCUCAAGUAUUUAAGCAGACUAGUUUGGGAACUGGCACUACAUAUAUAUUUUUAAACUUCAUUGAGUGUAUGUCUAAUGGCUGGUUUUUAUCUUCAGUAUUGCAUCUAGAAUCAAGUUUUAAUAAAUAAUACUGAAACUUC
Sceloporus undulatus (fence lizard) is the source of this 546-nucleotide long non-coding RNA. RefSeq lists it as uncharacterized. The transcript has 7 exons. The record is from RefSeq and is a predicted model, not a curated record. NCBI's taxonomy places the organism in Eukaryota, Metazoa, Chordata, Lepidosauria, Squamata, Phrynosomatidae.